UUUGUAAGUAAUUGUAUCUAUUUUGAUGGUGUCUUUCAUUGUUCUGUUUUUGCCAGUGCAUUUUUUUUAAUUUCAUUUUAUUUUCUAUCCAAUUUAGAUUUUUCAGGCAGAAGUUUCAACUGAUCUUUCUCCCCUGUCACUCUCUCCCACACACACGAACAUGCAGUACCUCAACACAUGCCAAAACCAAGAGCAGAAAAGAAAAGCCCUCUAUGGAGCAGAAAAUGAAGCUACAUCCAAGGAUUUUGAGGUGGCUUUUAUUUACAAAAAGGAUAUAUCUUAUCCUGUUGAAUGAGGUAUGGUUUUUGUUUGUUUGGUAGAUUUUUGGUUUUGUCACCUUUGUGAUUACUUUUCUUUUUAUGAAGGUUUUGCAAUAUGUAGCUAGAUAGAUGCCCACUAAAUGCAGUUAUACAGUUGAUCCAUUUAUUAUCUCGCAGCUCAUUAUAUGUUGUAUUUUAUCAUUUGUUUCUGUAUGGAAUAUUAGACAGUUAACAUGUCACCUUUAGCUCAUGUCCAGAAG
This 520-nucleotide long non-coding RNA is filed under the name Anas platyrhynchos platyrhynchos (common mallard). Its description in RNAcentral is "lncRNA (ENSAPLG00000017157.1)". Lineage: Eukaryota; Metazoa; Chordata; Aves; Anseriformes; Anatidae. The record is from RNAcentral.